UACGUAGGGGGCUAGCGUUGUCCGGAAUCAUUGGGCGUAAAGAGUGCGUAGGCGGUUUUCUAAGUUUGGUGUGAAAUCUCCCGGCUUAACUGGGAGGGUGCGCCGAAGACUGGAAGGCUUGAGUAUGGGAGAGGUAAGCGGAAUUCCUGGUGUAGCGGUGAAAUGCGUAGAUAUCAGGAGGAACACCUGCGGUGUAGACGGCUUACUGGACCAUAACUGACGCUGAGGCACGAAAGCGUGGGGAGCGAACAGG
Molecule: ribosomal RNA, 253 nt
Filed under: uncultured bacterium
Lineage: Bacteria
Description: partial 16S ribosomal RNA
Rfam family: Bacterial small subunit ribosomal RNA
Source: RNAcentral